Molecule: ribosomal RNA, 329 nt
Filed under: uncultured haloarchaeon
Lineage: Archaea; Methanobacteriati; Methanobacteriota; Halobacteria; Halobacteriales; Halobacteriaceae
Description: bacterial SSU rRNA
Rfam family: Archaeal small subunit ribosomal RNA
Source: RNAcentral
AUUCGCCCUUAUUCCGGUUGAUCCUGCCGGAGGCCAUUGCUAUUGGGAUCCGAUUUAGCCAUGCUAGUUGUACGAGUUCAGACUCGUAGCGAAUAGCUCAGUAACACGUGGCCAAACUACCCUUCGGACCACAAUACCCUCGGGAAACUGAGGCUAAUAGUGGAUCACACACUCACACUGGAAUGUCGAGUGUGUCAAACGCUCCGGCGCCGAAGGAUGUGGCUGCGGCCGAUUAGGUAGACGGUGGGGUAACGGCCCACCGUGCCAAUAAUCGGUACGGGUCAUGAGAGUGAGAACCCGGAGACGGAAUCUGAGACAAGAUUCCGGGC